AAGUCGAACGGGAAACUUUUAAAGAAGCUUCGGCAGAUUUAGCUGGUUUCUAGUGGCGGGCGGGUGAGUAACGCGUGGGUAACCUGCCUUGUACAGGGGGAUAACAGUCAGAAAUGACUGCUAAUACCGCAUAAGCGCACAGGACCGCAUGGUCCAGUGUGAAAAACUCCGGUGGUAUAAGAUGGACCCGCGUUGGAUUAGCUGGUUGGUGGGGUAACGGCCUACCAAGGCGACGAUCCAUAGCCGGCCUGAGAGGGUGAACGGCCACAUUGGGACUGAGACACGGCCCAGACUCCUACGGGAGGCAGCAGUGGGGAAUAUUGCACAAUGGGGGAAACCCUGAUGCAGCGACGCCGCGUGAAGGAAGAAGUAUCUCGGUAUGUAAACUUCUAUCAGCAGGGAAGAGAUUGACGGUACCUGACUAAGAAGCCCCGGCUAACUACGUGCCAGCAGCCGCGGUAAUACGUAGGGGGCAAGCGUUAUCCGGAUUUACUGGGUGUAAAGGGAGCGUAGACGGAUGGACAAGUCUGAUGUGAAAGGCUGGGGCUCAACCCCGGGACUGCAUUGGAAACUGCCCGUCUUGAGUGCCGGAGAGGUAAGCGGAAUUCCUAGUGUAGCGGUGAAAUGCGUAGAUAUUAGGAGGAACACCAGUGGCGAAGGCGGCUUACUGGACGGUAACUGUCGUUGAGG
This 690-nucleotide ribosomal RNA is filed under the name uncultured Lachnospiraceae bacterium. Its description in RNAcentral is "bacterial SSU rRNA". It matches the Rfam family "Bacterial small subunit ribosomal RNA", at positions 59 to 751 of the family's 1533-position model. The record is from RNAcentral. Lineage: Bacteria; Bacillati; Bacillota; Clostridia; Lachnospirales; Lachnospiraceae.